GAUGAACGCUGACAGAAUGCUUAACACAUGCAAGUCUUUGGCGAAUCUGUGCUUGCACCGGCUAGCCAAGGCGGACGGGUGAGUAACGCGUAAAGAACUUGCCCUGCAGACAGGGAUAACAGACGGAAACGACUGAUAACACCUGAUACAGUUGCCGGCACGCAUGUGCCUGGCAAUGAAAAGAGAUGCUGCAGGAGAGCUUUGCGUCCUAUUAGCUUGUUGGUGAGGUGACGGCUCACCAAGGCGAUGAUAGGUAGCCGGCCUGAGAGGGUGAACGGCCACAAGGGGACUGAGAUACGGCCCUUACUCCUACGGGAGGCAGCAGUGGGGAAUAUUGGACGAUGGGGGCAACCCUGAUCCAGCAAUUCUGUGUGCACGAAGAAGGUUUUCGGAGUGUAAAGUGCUUUCAGCAGGGAAGAAGAAAGUGACGGUACCUGCAGAAGAAGCGACGGCUAAAUACGUG
RNAcentral lists this ribosomal RNA (463 nucleotides) under uncultured bacterium. Its description in RNAcentral is "partial 16S ribosomal RNA". It matches the Rfam family "Bacterial small subunit ribosomal RNA", at positions 28 to 507 of the family's 1533-position model. The record is from RNAcentral.